Molecule: ribosomal RNA, 852 nt
Filed under: Flavobacterium sp. 01xTSA12A_F05
Lineage: Bacteria; Pseudomonadati; Bacteroidota; Flavobacteriia; Flavobacteriales; Flavobacteriaceae
Description: bacterial SSU rRNA
Rfam family: Bacterial small subunit ribosomal RNA
Source: RNAcentral
AGUCGAGGGGUAUGCUUCUUCGGAAGCAGAGACCGGCGCACGGGUGCGUAACGCGUAUGCAAUCUACCUUUUACAGAGGGAUAGCCCAGAGAAAUUUGGAUUAAUACCUCAUAGUAUAGCAGUUUCGCAUGAAACCACUAUUAAAGUCACAACGGUAAAAGAUGAGCAUGCGUCCCAUUAGCUAGUUGGUAAGGUAACGGCUUACCAAGGCUACGAUGGGUAGGGGUCCUGAGAGGGAGAUCCCCCACACUGGUACUGAGACACGGACCAGACUCCUACGGGAGGCAGCAGUGAGGAAUAUUGGACAAUGGGCGCAAGCCUGAUCCAGCCAUGCCGCGUGCAGGAUGACGGUCCUAUGGAUUGUAAACUGCUUUUAUACGAGAAGAAACACUGCUACGUGUAGCAGCUUGACGGUAUCGUAAGAAUAAGGAUCGGCUAACUCCGUGCCAGCAGCCGCGGUAAUACGGAGGAUCCAAGCGUUAUCCGGAAUCAUUGGGUUUAAAGGGUCCGUAGGCGGUUUAAUAAGUCAGUGGUGAAAGCCCAUCGCUCAACGGUGGAACGGCCAUUGAUACUGUUAGACUUGAAUUAUUAGGAAGUAACUAGAAUAUGUAGUGUAGCGGUGAAAUGCUUAGAGAUUACAUGGAAUACCAAUUGCGAAGGCAGGUUACUACUAAUUGAUUGACGCUGAUGGACGAAAGCGUGGGUAGCGAACAGGAUUAGAUACCCUGGUAGUCCACGCCGUAAACGAUGGAUACUAGCUGUUGGAAGCAAUUUCAGUGGCUAAGCGAAAGUGAUAAGUAUCCCACCUGGGGAGUACGUUCGCAAGAAUGAAACUCAAAGGAAUUGACGGGG